UACGAAGGGGGCUAGCGUUGUUCGGAAUCACUGGGCGUAAAGGGUGCGCAGGCGGGUUCAUAAGUCAGGGGUGAAAUCCCGAGGCUCAACCUCGGAACUGCCUUUGAUACUGUGGAUCUUGAGUCCGGAAGAGGUGAGUGGAACUGCGAGUGUAGAGGUGAAAUUCGUAGAUAUUCGCAAGAACACCGGUGGCGAAGGCGGCUCACUGGUCCGGAACUGACGCUGAGGCA
This 230-nucleotide ribosomal RNA is filed under the name uncultured microorganism. Its description in RNAcentral is "partial 16S ribosomal RNA". It matches the Rfam family "Bacterial small subunit ribosomal RNA", at positions 524 to 753 of the family's 1533-position model. The record is from RNAcentral.